GAUGAACGCUAGCGGCAGGCUUAACACAUGCAAGUCGAGGGGCAGCGCGGGAUAGCAAUAUCCUGGCGGCGACCGGCGGAAGGGUGCGUAACGCGUGAGCGACAUGCCCGUUGCCCGGGGACAACCGGUGGAAACGCCGACUAAUCCCCGAUGGGAUAUUGUGCCGCAUGGCACGAUAUUGAAAGUUACGGCGGCGACGGAUUGGCUCGCGUCCGAUUAGCUUGUUGGCGGGGUAACGGCCCACCAAGGCUGCGAUCGGUAGGGGUUCUGAGAGGAAGGCCCCCCACAGUGGGACUGAGACACGGCCCAUACUCCUACGGGAGGCAGCAGUGAGGAAUAUUGGUCAAUGGGCGGAAGCCUGAACCAGCCAUGCCGCGUGCGGGAAGGAGGCCCUAUGGGCUGUGAACCGCUUUUGCCUGGGGGCAAUAAGGGCGUCGCGCACGUCCGAUGAGAGUACCAGGCGAAUAAGCAUCGGCUAACUCCGUG
This 486-nucleotide ribosomal RNA is filed under the name uncultured bacterium. RNAcentral describes it as "partial 16S ribosomal RNA". It matches the Rfam family "Bacterial small subunit ribosomal RNA", at positions 28 to 507 of the family's 1533-position model. The record is from RNAcentral.